ACACUCAGAAAGUUUACACAAAUGUCAAAAAAUUUCCCUUUAUGAACUCUUCGAUUCAAUGAGAGAGAGAAAUGCAAGCGACGUAAUUGUUUACUUAACUAUUCUUUAUUUUUUGCAAAAAGUGACGAAAGGAAUUCAAAAAGCCGGCUGAAAUGUUAAAAUUGGGCAAUGCUCUUCCCCUGCUUCCUUCGGCAUUUAACCCCUUGCGGACCAUGUGUACCCAACAUCAUUGGUUUAAGCCGGAUGGUGUCGAUACGGGUAUAAGGGUCUAUAAUUGUGCUGCUAGGCGGCAAGUUCCUCUGAUACUGCCACGUGAAAAUUUCUUAACUUGGUAUACAUGUGGUCCAACAGUCUAUGAUUCCUGCCAUUUGGGUCAUGCCAGCUGUUAUGUAAAGUUGGACAUUAUACAACGCAUCUUGAAACACCAUUUUAAUUUGAAUGUAGUAACGGCCAUGAAUAUAACGGAUAUUGAUGAUAAAAUCAUAAAAAAGAGCCAAGAGAGUGGCCAAGAUUGGCGUGACAUUUCCAAACAUUACGAAGCAGAAUUUUGGUUGGACUUAAGAAAACUUAAUGUGACAGAGCCAAAUAUUAAGCUACGUGUUACGGAACAUAUACCGCAAAUUAUUUCCUACAUAGAUGAUAUUAUUGUCAAGAAAUGUGCAUAUGUGGGUGCGGAUUCCUCGGUGUAUUUUGAUGUAAAACAAUUUCCCAUUUAUGGCAAACUGCAAAAUCUGAAUUUAAAUGAAAGCAAUAUCUUAUCGAAGCCAGAGGAGCAGCAUCAAAAGUUAUCUGCAUUGGAUUUUGCACUAUGGAAGGCACGCAAAGCUGACAACGAACCAGCCUGGUCUUCACCCUGGGGUUUGGGCCGACCUGGUUGGCACAUUGAAUGUAGUACAUUGGCUAACAUGGUCUUUGGCAAAAGUGUUGAUGUACAUGCGGGAGGGUUGGACUUGAAAUUCCCCCAUCACGAAAAUGAAGAGGCACAAAGUUGUGUCUUCCAUAAUACAAGACAAUGGGUUAACUAUUGGCUGCAUACUGGCUAUUUGAACAUCAAAGGACAGCAGGAAAAAAUGUCAAAAUCAUUGAAAAAUACCAUUUCCAUAGAUGAAAUGUUGCAGGACUAUACGGCAGAUGAGUUUCGCAUGGCAUGUGUUUUGUCAAACUACAGAAAUUCAAUGGAAUACUCCAAGGAAAUGAUGGAUACAGCACGUAAUACGCUCAACAAGUUCCAUAGUUUCAAAACCGAUUGCCAGGCCUAUUUGAGUGGCAAGAAAGUGGGCUCCAACAUAAUUUCCUCGGCGAUAUUGAAAAAUCUCAAUUAUUGUAAAUCCAACAUUGAAACGUGUAUACAAGAUGAUUUUGAUACGGCACGAUGUAUUGGAAUUUUAUUAGACCAAAUUUCUAGCAUCAGUCGUUGCAUUAAUACCAGUCCCCAUGCGAAUGAGGAUGUUGGCUUAAUAACAGCCUCGUGUUUGGAUGCUGUGGCAGCUGUCAACAAUUAUGUGGAUAGUGUUUUACAAUCGUUUGGUUUUGUUGAAACCUCCUCUAACCGGGUAUUAAAUGCUGAAAGUCAUUUGGAUUUUAAUGCCCUGUUGGAUGAUAUUUUGGAUACCCGCAAACUAAUACGCGAACGUGCUGUUAGUGGUAAGAAUAAAUUGCUAUUUGAAGUUUGUGAUGACCUGCGCAAUUGUUUGCGGCAACACGGCAUUGAAAUUAAGGAUCAUGCUCAGGGUAGCUCAUGGAAUUUGAUUAGAAAUAAGAAUUGAAAGUCUUGAUAUUUUACUUUUUUUGAUAAGUUAGUGUUACAGAAAAAAAUGUUUCAAGGUAAAACCUGGAAUUCUAUUUAAAAUGUCUAAAUUAAGAUUUACUUUCAUACUUUUAAAUUUGUGUUGCGCAAAAUAAAAAGGACGAAAUAUAAUUAAUUUUUGUUUUUUUUUAUUUAUAGAUAAGUCUUAUUGACAAAUUUACGGCACCACAAGAACAAUUUUUUAUUUUUAGAAUUAGAAAAAAGAGUUUUUCUCGCAGAAAACAAAAUAAAAUAAACAAGUAUAACGGGUAUUUGAUAGCCGUAUCAUACAAGAGAAAUAUCCAGCUGAUUGUUUUUUUUUAAUCGAGUGAUCCCUAAACAUGUCGCUUUUCAACCUGUUGAUCCCUAAGUUUUAUUUUGAUUUGACGUGUUUGGGAAGCCUCCUUUUCGUCCCUUUUGGAUUCCACCAAAUCCAUCAAUGAUCUCAGUGGGAUUUGCCUAUAACCUAAUGGAAAUCCUGUUAAAUUUUGACAUGAAAUUUUGCGUAGCAAG
Molecule: RNA transcript, 2299 nt
Organism: Musca domestica (house fly)
Lineage: Eukaryota; Metazoa; Arthropoda; Insecta; Diptera; Muscidae
Gene name: transmembrane protein 39A
Exons: 3
Source: RefSeq, a predicted model, not a curated record